ACGUUACCCGCAGAAGAAGCACCGGCUAACUCCGUGCCAGCAGCCGCGGUAAUACGGAGGGUGCAAGCGUUAAUCGGAAUUACUGGGCGUAAAGCGCACGCAGGCGGUCUGUCAAGUCGGAUGUGAAAUCCCCGGGCUCAACCUGGGAACUGCAUUCGAAACUGGCAGGCUUGAGUCUUGUAGAGGGGGGUAGAAUUCCAGGUGUAGCGGUGAAAUGCGUAGAGAUCUGGAGGAAUACCGGUGGCGAAGGCGGCCCCCUGGACAAAGACUGACGCUCAGGUGC
RNAcentral lists this ribosomal RNA (283 nucleotides) under Salmonella enterica subsp. enterica serovar Virchow. RNAcentral's name for it is "partial 16S ribosomal RNA". It matches the Rfam family "Bacterial small subunit ribosomal RNA", at positions 472 to 754 of the family's 1533-position model. Lineage: Bacteria; Pseudomonadati; Pseudomonadota; Gammaproteobacteria; Enterobacterales; Enterobacteriaceae. The record is from RNAcentral.